AGCCCUGGGCAUGCGAGGAGUUUCUGCAUAAGAUUUGGGGAGGUGGGAAGAGCACCCAACGAAUGUGUGGUACCAUCCUGUGGACUCGAGUCCCGGACUAAAUAAAAAGAAUUGCUGUAUAUCAGGAGUCUUCACACAGCUUCACGGCUCACUCCACUCAGGAGCUCAUGAGAGACAGAAGUGACUAUAUCACACACUGAACUGUGUCUUCAUCUGCAGGUUCAGUCAAGGAAGACUCCACUUCCACCCACACCCAGCUGGUGCCCAGCAGGUGCCCACAGACGUUGACCGGUGUCCAGCCUCCUUGUUUCUGCAGCACUUCCACCCCACCUACUCUCCACAAAGCAGCCGAUUUGACCUUUUAAAAGGCAAAGGAAAGAGGUCCCUCCGUCUACACAGUGGAAGCAGCUUUGAUGCCCUUUUCCUCUUUCUUAGCUGCCUGUCUGCCAGCUAGAUCCCACCAGACUCCGUCCCAAAGCCCCCAAACGGCGCUGUCACUGCCACCAGGCGUUAUUGGUUUUGGUUUUUAAACAUUGUUUUAAAAUGUUAAACUCUAAAAUAAAUGCAGAAGCAGCCCAGC
Mus musculus (house mouse) is the source of this 580-nucleotide long non-coding RNA. RefSeq annotates it as predicted gene, 39280. The transcript has 3 exons. The record is from RefSeq and is a predicted model, not a curated record. Lineage: Eukaryota; Metazoa; Chordata; Mammalia; Rodentia; Muridae.